GAUGUUACCAAAUCAUUAGAUUUUACUUAUAAAGUGGUUCAUCAAAUUUUCAUAUAUUAGAUAUAAAGGCAGAAAAAUAUGGCUCAAAUUCAAAAAUUUGUUUAUACUUUGAUAAUGUUUCUUUCUCUUUUUGUCAUGGUAACCAAUGGCAUGGUAAGUACCAACGCAUAUAUUCAUAGGUGCAUACAUCAAGAUGAUUGUCCAAAAUAUAUGUGUGAAAUUUCUGUGCUUCCGGAGUGCAUUAAUGGUUUUUGUACAUGCGUGUAACUGCAAACUUUUUACUUUAAUAAUUUCCUCGCACUUUAAUUUAUGUUUCUUUUAGCUCUAAAUUUCUAUCACAAAAUCAACAAUGUAUUAUAAUAACUUAGUUAUAAGAUUAUAAUACAUUUUAUGUACCUAUAUUAUAAUUACUUUGUUAUAAGAUUAUAAUAUAUUUUAUGUAAUAAUGUUGGUACCAUAAGAAUUUUCCUUCCACUUUUAUUAUGUUUCUCUUA
This is a long non-coding RNA of Medicago truncatula (barrel medic), 494 nucleotides long. RefSeq lists it as uncharacterized. Lineage: Eukaryota; Viridiplantae; Streptophyta; Magnoliopsida; Fabales; Fabaceae. The record is from RefSeq and is a predicted model, not a curated record. The transcript is spliced from 2 exons.